UACGAAGGGUGCAAACGUUGCUCGGAAUUAUUGGGCGUAAAGCGCACGUAGGCGGCUUGGCAAGUCGGAUGUGAAAUCCCUCGGCUCAACCAAGGAAGUGCAUCCGAAACUGCUGAGCUUGAGUACGAAAGAGGAUCGCGGAAUUCCCGGUGUAGAGGUGAAAUGCGUAGAUAUCUGGAGGAACACCGGUGGCGAAGGCGGCAUCCUGGACCGACACUGACGCUGAGGAGCGAAAGCCAGGGGAGCAAACGGG
Molecule: ribosomal RNA, 253 nt
Filed under: uncultured bacterium
Lineage: Bacteria
Description: partial 16S ribosomal RNA
Rfam family: Bacterial small subunit ribosomal RNA
Source: RNAcentral